UGCAUCGUCGGUGCAUUCUGGGGGUUGUUUCUUGCUUUUGGUUGCUUGCUUGGCCUUGCGGCUUGGUGGGUGGCUUUAGUGAGGCAGUCUCGGGGGAUGUCAACCGUGAAAGGUGCAUGAGUGGUGUUUGGUUUGUUACGGGUGGUUGGAUGUCUGCUUGUGCAGCAACUUCCACGCGUGCUUACCUUUUCAGUCGGCUACGAGGUAACAUUGCCUUGUUGCAUUUAGUGGGUUUCUUGUGUUGCAUACCUUAUCGAUGGCAUUGUUUCGAUCUAUCAAAGCGAAUUCUGGUAACACGUUGCUUGCGGCGUGAUAUCAGCCACGAAGCAAUCUCUGUUGUCCAUGCUGUUCUUUGCUCAUGCAUCGAUGGUAUGGGCCAUGGAGUGUUGCUUGGUGUCUUGGAUAUGGAACCUGUGUGGCACAAGGUGUUCAAAGAUCUUGAGUUUGCCCUAUUUAAGUGUUCUCGCUUCCUUAAACGACCAGCUACCAUAUAUCGGCAUGUCGUUG
This 507-nucleotide unclassified non-coding RNA is filed under the name Gelasia rigida. RNAcentral describes it as "Scorzonera rigida partial external transcribed spacer". Lineage: Eukaryota; Viridiplantae; Streptophyta; Magnoliopsida; Asterales; Asteraceae. The record is from RNAcentral.